GUAGGAUAUGCCAUCUGGGUCUGGAGAGCAAUAGCCAUGAAUCCGGGGUUCCCAUUGAAUUAGGUUGUUCUUGUAAGGAUGAUUUGGCUGCUGCUCAUAAACAGUGUGCUGAGGCUUGGUUCCAGAUUAAAGGAAACAAGACCUGUGAGAUUUGUCAUUCCAUUGCUCGCAAUGUGGUUGGAGUAAAUGAAAUUGAGAAAAAAGAGCAAUCAAAUGAGGCAAACAAUGCUACUGCAGUGGCUGCAGCCCCAGCAUCAGCACACCAUUCAGAAACUCAAAGCUUCUGGCAUGGCCAUCGCUUCCUGAAUAGUCUACUUGUGUGCGUGGUAUUUUCAUUUGUCAUAUCAUGGCUCUUUCACUUUAAUGUUCCAUCCUCAUAAACUGUGAAACGUAUUGAGACCAAAUAUAUAUAUAGAAGAAGAAGAAGAAGAAGAAGAAG
Molecule: unclassified non-coding RNA, 439 nt
Filed under: Hevea brasiliensis (rubber tree)
Lineage: Eukaryota; Viridiplantae; Streptophyta; Magnoliopsida; Malpighiales; Euphorbiaceae
Source: RNAcentral